RNAcentral lists this ribosomal RNA (538 nucleotides) under Matobosaurus validus (giant plated lizard). Its description in RNAcentral is "partial 16S ribosomal RNA". It matches the Rfam family "Bacterial large subunit ribosomal RNA", at positions 1825 to 2622 of the family's 2925-position model. The record is from RNAcentral. Lineage: Eukaryota; Metazoa; Chordata; Lepidosauria; Squamata; Gerrhosauridae.
GCCAAAACAGUAUUAAAGGUUUUGCCUGCCCAGUGAAUUAUUUUAAACGGCCGCGGUAUCCUAACCGUGCGAAGGUAGCGCAAUCACUUGUCUCCUAAAUAGAGACUAGUAUGAACGGUCAAAUGAGGACUAACCUGUCUCUUAUGGGCAAUCCGUGAAACUGAACUCUCAGUACAAAUGCUGAGAUAACCAUAUAAGACGAGAAGACCCUGUGGAGCUUAUAAACAAACUGCGAAAUGACUUAUGCGCACGUUUUUAGUUGGGGCGACUUUGGAAACAAAAAAACUUCCAAGAAUGGGACCACACCUCCCCCAAAUGGCCAACAAGCCUAAUAAAACACAGACCCGGUUUUAAGCAAACCGACAAACGAACCAAGUUACCCCAGGGAUAACAGCGCUAUCUUCUUUUAGAGUCCAUAUCAACAAGUAAGGCUUACGACCUCGAUGUUGGAUCAGGACAUCCAAGUGGCGCAGCCGCUACUAAGGGUUCGUUUGUUCAACGAUUAACAGUCCUACGUGAUCUGAGUUCAGACCGGAGA